CCCGCAUCGAUUGUUACCUUUCGGCGUUAGUCGGUCUUAUCGCUGUUGUAUCACCGGCUGACAGUCCGAUUCGUACUUAAGCCCCGGCCGGACGCAGUGAUAGCGGCAUGUUAGUGUGGGUUCGCCAUCCGUGACGCGAUUCCAUAGAAUGCAGAUAAUACAAUGUCAAGCCAGUGUACGUUCACUGGCUGUAUCUGAUAAAUGGUAAAAACACAAGCACCAUUUAUCUCUCUGGCUAUUUUGGCAUGUUUCCCAUAAUCAUCUGAUACGUUGGUUCACGGGACACAAGCAAACAAAAAACGGUCUCCAGCCGAACGGGUACAUCAUUUGAUCGACUAAGCGUUGCGGUUAACCCUGGCAGACUCACGCGCGAAUCAUCAUUCGGCCAAUCGGUGCUUGUGGUGAACGGAGGUGGUUUAUUAGCUUGACGGUGUCGAUCGUGGAGUGCCGGUGUAGCGUUGCUGUCAAUCACUUUCUUCAUUGCCGGGUUGUUCUGUUGCGAUAGGUCAUCGUACAAGUGAUUUAUUAAGUUAGAAAUGAAGUGUUCGAUAACUUAAAUUGUACAAGGAAAGAGAAGUAUUCGGAUAAAAAGAGUUUCUCUGCCAAUCGGAAUCGUGCAAAUCGAGUGAAUCAUUACGAACCCGUGCAUGUGUUUUGAGUUCAAAUAUGAUACUUCAUUUAUAAGUAAUCAGUGCAAAACCGUUUUGCACCUGCAACCGAUGCUGCGCUUAAGAUAUUGAUGAAAAGUGAUUAUCACAGUUUUCCAACAGUGUGUUAGCAGAUUUUAAAAUUCUUUCUACUCAAUCGGAUAGUAUUGAAUGUCCAGCACGUGUACAAGUCGUACAUUUUUACCAGCUCCUCGUCAGCUAGUUUGUGGAAACAAGUGCCCAGUACCUCGAUCGUUUGCGUUAUUACCGAUCGACCGACGCGUGUUAAUCGUUACGGAGCGACGUACCUGAAAAGGAACGAUAAAAUGAAUUCUUCUACCAUAAUAAUAGCCAUAUUAACCAUCAUUAGGUGAUGAUGAUCAGACCGCCAACAAAUCCGGCCAUCGACGACGACAAAAUGUAUGAAUUACAGACCUACCACAUCGAUAGCUUUUUGUUGUUGUUGUCGUUGCAACUGUUUUGAUAAUUUUCGUGUUUUUUUUGUGAAUGGUGUUAUUUUUCUCAUGUGACGAGUGAUGGGUUCAGUGUUGAACUACGCCGAUGUGAAACGGUCAGACGAGCGGCAGAAGUGUGCGGUGAAGAGAACCGGCGAAUAUGUGUGAAAUAUUCACGGCAGAAUCUCCGAUGAUCGUCUAGUGAAUCGUUUCAGCUUGACUUGAAACGGACGAGCGGCAAAAAAAAGUGUGUAGAAUCAGUGUCGUCACUACAGGGCAGGCUUUGUCUCGAGUUGAUACGCCACAGUUAGUUUUGCGCGAAAACAAUCCAUUUCUAUCCGCCCAACGUCAGUGAGUGAUGCGAAGAACGGGUGCACUCCAACCAGAUCCGAUCAACGCGAAAAUGAUGAGAUAGUGUCACAUGUCAACAUUGUGGCGUUUCUUGAAAGUGUAUAUAACGUUGAGUGAACAAAAAGUGAUAAUGAAAUAUUUUAGGCGAGAGUAAGUGCGAACAUUGCAACCAGUGGGAGUUUUGGAAACCAUCCUGAUAACAGGUGCAAUCACGUGUUGUUGUUGUUGUUUUUGUGUUGCGGAAUAUGUUUUAACGAGCCGAGAAUCGAUUACAUUGUGGUUCGCCAGGACAUGGAGGCUGUCAGUGUUAUGACACGGAGAGCACGCUCCCGGGAAAAACAUAUUCAGGAAAACAUCGAAUCAGAAAACUGCCACUUGGAUGACCUGUACACCCGGUACCGGCAACGGCUGCGAAAGUCGUUGUUUAUCUCCGGACUGGGAAUAUCGAUACUUUCCUGUUUGAUAUCAAUCGCCCUGUGCCAGCUGCAAAAAGCGGUUGUGGCCGAUCUGACGAUCCUUGCCGUUGCAUCACUGGUCCUGUGUGGGAUCCUAGUGGCUCUGCACUUUCCAAUGGUGAUGAACUCUCCAGUGGCCGCGCUCGGUUUUGCUCUACUCACCACCGGAACCAUCGGAACUAUCGCCAUUGCCGUUGGAGCUCAGCUGGCACCAUUACCACUGUUUGCACUCAUACUGGGGGUACACACGAUGCUGCCCAUCUCAUGGCCAGUAUCGGUAGUACUAGCAGUGAUCCUGUGCCUGAUUCACAUCGGCUACCGGCUUUGGCCCGGAGUACACGACCUGCCGACCUACUUCUUUUCGCAGCUACUGGCGGAAAUGAUCUUCCUAGCGUCGGCUACCAUCAUGGGUUUGUACUAUCGCAUCAUGUCCGACGCUGCCCACAUCGAUGCCGUCGAUGGAACCCGAACGGGGAUCGAGCAACGGGUUCGGCUGGAAUGCGAACGGGAACAACAGGAACAGCUGCUACUGAGCGUAAUACCGGCCUACAUUGCAGCCGAGGUAAAACGCAGCAUAAUGCUGAAAAUGGCGGACGCCUGUCAAACAGCUGGAGGACAAAGUCAAACACGCUUCCAUGAGAUGCACGUCCAGCGUCACAACAACGUGUCAAUCCUGUAUGCGGACAUUGUAAACUUCACACCCCUCUCGGAACAACUGACCGCGUCCGAUCUGGUCAAAACGCUGAACGAGUUGUUCGGUCGAUUCGACCAAAUUGCACAGGAGAAUCAAUGUCUACGGAUAAAGAUCCUCGGUGAUUGUUACUACUGCGUGUCGGGUCUUCCGGUGUCACGGCCUCAACACGCUGCCAAUUGUGUCAACAUGGGACUACAAAUGAUAGAUGCCAUUCGUUUAGUCCGGGAGGCUACAGGGUUCAACGUUGACAUGCGGAUCGGUAUUCACACCGGCAAUGUGCUGUGCGGCGUUCUGGGCCUCCGCAAGUGGCAGUUUGAUGUAUGGAGUGACGACGUUACUCUGGCGAAUCACAUGGAAAGUGGAGGCGUUGCCGGACGAGUCCAUAUCACGAAAGCUACCUUGGAUUACCUCGGUGACAAAUUUGAAGUAGAACCAGGAAACGGAGCAAGUCGGGAGUCGUACCUGGCGGAUCAUAAAAUUGAAACAUAUCUCAUCGUACCUCCCAAGAAACUGGCCAACGACCUCCUGAAGGCAUCGCCCAAUUCAAACACGCACACCCCCUCGCCCACGACAACCAUACAAAUCAACGAGCCUGAUCCGCUGGAUACUGCAUCACUAGGUGAGCUGCCUAAAACACCGAAAACACCACGAACACCAAAGACUCCGGACGAUCUGCGGCGGUCUCAUGGAUCCAUCUCAUCGUCCACCAUUCCGGAGGAGCGUGAGCAGUUGCUCCCCACUCCGGUUUCUGUUUCUAUCCUGCCCGUUCCAGCUAGCCCGAUUCCACCGCCGUCGCCAUCGCCACUCAUCAAACAGGCCAGCAUCACAAUCACCACCGAAACAAUCAACGAGGAAACGACUGAAAAUGGUGACGAAGCGGAGCAGCAGCAGCAGCAGGAACCGUGCAAAAAAUCCUGCCUCACCCUGCCGGUUGAGCCGAUCACCACCAACGGACAUCUGCCCGAGCGGGUGGGUAGCCGGAAGCUUUCAGUGCAAGGUUUGAUUGCAUUCGCCGAGCGACGAAAAUCCAACAGCUCCAUAUUCGGCGAUAUGCGAAAAAUGUCAAUCAGCAACAUAGAUUGCCUGCGGUCGCCUAUGGUAUCAACCCCCGGACCACUGAUGCGCAACCGACCGUCCACCAAGAUGACCAAAUAUGUCGAAUGCUGGGGGGCGGACAAGCCGUUCGCCAACAUUACUGAUUCUAAAAUGGCGAGAAACAUCGGACUAGCGAGCCUGGCCAUGAUUGAGUCCAAUAUCCUACCGGAGGAUGAACACUGCAGCGAGUGUCAGUGCUGGGGACCACCGAAGGAGUUGAAGCCGGUGAUCAUGGUGUACCGAAACAGCGCACGGGAGGCUAUGUACCGCGAACAACCAGACCCUAACUUUCGGUUCGAUCUCAUCUGUUCGUUCGUUUUAUUUUUAUCGAUUGGACUGAUACAAAUAGUAGUAUUUAAAAGCAAUGUAGUCGUUAUCGGUUCACUCAGCGCCACAACCGUUUCAUUAAGUCUAUUUUUAUAUCUUAGUAACUAUCAGAUGUCGGAGCUGUCACCGGCCGGGAACGGUGGUCCCGGCCAUAUUAUUGCCGCUAACAGAACCUUCCGGAUAGCAAUAUUUCUGAUUUCGACAGCGCUCAUUGCUGCUUGUGCCAUAUUUAGUGUGAUAAACUUCGAUGAUCUGGUGAUAGCAGAUGUUCAAUUGGUUAACAACACUACCGAGACAGUUCUGUUUGAGGUGGAAUACGCUCCGGUAGCACCGGUAUAUCUGUACAUGUGUGCUGUCAGUUUAGCAGCUGUAUCGGCCUUCCUUCAGCAAGGAUUUAUCGUCAAGCUACUGCUGAUGCUGUUCUACAUUGUUGUGCAAUGUUCGCUUUUAUGGCAAAGCUCACUCUUCGAGACGUACCAAAUACUGUACAAUUCAUGGCCUCUGGCAUUUCAGGGUGCCCUGUUUCUACUGCUGAUAGCGGCUGUGCUAAACUCUCUGGAUCGCCAGGGCGAGUAUGUCUCGCGAACCGACUUCCUCUGGAAGGCCAAGCUAAAGGUCGAACAGGAGGAGGUGGAAACGAUGCGAGGAAUCAAUAAGAUUCUACUGGAAAACAUUCUGCCAGCCCACGUUGCGCAGCAUUUCCUGAAAAAAGAACGAGCCAUCCAGGAGCUGUACCACGAAAGUUAUUCAUCGGUGGCAGUGAUGUUCGCGUCGAUACCCAACUACAAGGAAUUCUACGACGAAACCGACGUCAACAAGCAGGGCCUCGAGUGCUUACGACUGCUCAACGAAAUCAUUUGCGAUUUCGACAAGCUGCUGCUCAAGCCCAAGUUCAGCGGUAUAGAAAAAAUCAAAACCAUCGGCAGUACCUAUAUGAUUGCAUCCGGUUUGCGACCGGGCAAGGAGGAAGGUGCAACGAAGAAUAAUGACCAGGACGAAAAACGAACUGAGGAGCACAACGUGGUGAUGUUGGUUGAUUUUGCGAUUGCUCUCAUGACCGCCCUGGACCAGAUCAAUCGUGAGUCAUUCCAGCGGUUUCGACUACGAAUCGGUCUCAACCACGGACCGGUGAUAGCCGGUGUAAUCGGAGCUCAGAAGCCACAGUACGACAUCUGGAGUAAUACCGUGAACGUUGCAUCCCGGAUGGAUUCCUGCGGAGUGAUGGGACGAGUGCAGUCUACGGAAAACACAGCCAACGUGCUGAUGGCUGCCGGAUACUCCUGCGAGUGCCGUGGACCCAUUCCAGUCAAAGGAAAAGGCAUCCUUACAACAUACUUUGUAAGGACACCAUUCGACGAACGAAUUUAAAGCAGUACUACUGUUUGUGCCAGGUGAAUAUCGUCGCAGUGAUGUAAACCGCAUUGAGCACCGGCUGUAGCAGCACUGGGACAUGCAACAGGAAAAAUGAGUGAGUGAGUGAGAUAGAUUUAUUAAGGAUAGUUAUGGAAAUAGAGCAUUUGAUGAUAUGCAAACAACCGCGUUCACGUAGGGAUGUUCGUUUCGAAAUGAGGUAUGGAUGAAAUUAACAAAUUGGCUCUAAAUAAGCUACGCUGGUAGUGAUUUAUCUCGAUUUUACAUCAUCGAGCGUAUAUAAUUUUUUCCGUACUUUUUCACAAAAUCUAUCGGUUUCCGACGAUUUUACAUUCCUCGAAAGACCAAUAUGAAGAGAGGAUGAGAUCCCUCUUGAGUCAUAUAAGUCAUCUGCUUUGGUUGUGAAUAAACGAGCUGAGUAACCCUACUUGAAUGUAAUUAGAUAGUUUAAAGAAGAACUAAAACAUGUACCACUUGAAAAAAUCCUCUAGGAGACCUACAAGAUUUUGACUAUGCAAACAGCUGUAUGUGUAUAAUAAGCAACAUAGCUCAGAAACGAAAAAGCAUCUUGUGGAACAACCUUCAAUGAAGUGUAAAAAGAAUAGACUUUAAAAAUUAAACUAACAAUGUGAAACAAGUACAACACAUACAGAAGCACAAGAUCAGUUUAGGACAAAUGUCGACUUCACCGCCAUAACAAAACAGAUGCUCACACGAUAUUUGUAAGCAAAUCAUCUUCCGUCAGUGCCAUCAUCAUCUUCCUUAAUAUCUCAUACUUUUCAGAUCCAACCUAACCGUACCUAGUCCAAGAGCAAGCAUUUCAUAGCAUAAAUUAUGACGACUAGCAAUGUCUGUAUUCACCCAAUAGUACGCCGGACUCUUACAAUGCACACGUGAAAAAGAUAUUCUAACAAUUAUUAACAAUCAAAAUAAAUCAAAGAAAGUCAGAGAUAGCUCCUGUGACGUUAGUGUUUUAGACAAAAUAUUUUCCCUCUAUCCGUUCAUAAAAUGUGACAAGUGGCCAAGCCACACUAUAAAUACACUGGUCAAUUCGAAGAAAA
Malaya genurostris is the source of this 6456-nucleotide RNA transcript. It is a transcript of the gene named adenylate cyclase type 2, with no coding region annotated. The transcript is spliced from 19 exons. The record is from RefSeq and is a predicted model, not a curated record. NCBI's taxonomy places the organism in Eukaryota, Metazoa, Arthropoda, Insecta, Diptera, Culicidae.